GGCAGGACUAUCUCAGGUUCAAAGCCAGCCUCAACAAUUUAGCAAGGUCUGAAGCAACUAAGUGAAAAACCCUAUCUCUAAAUAAAACAUAAAAAGGGUUGGGGAUGUGACUCAGUGGUUCAGCACCCCUGGUUCAAUCCUGGUGUCAAAAAAGGAAAGGAUUAAUUAAAACUACUUAUUUUACAUAAUUAUCAACAUUCAGAGUUGAAUUAACUUGGAAGGAGGAAGAUUAAUGUGCAAUUAAUAUUUUGGUGACUUUGUGAAUUGGGCAAUUUUUGGUGAGCUAUCCUGAAUGACUACUCAUUUUUUUCUAGAGGAGAAUUUCAUUUUAGAUAAGUGGUUUCAAUGAACUUUUGAAGAAUGAUGGUAAAUCAUACUAAACUCAUUAAACAGAUAGUCUGAAGACUUAAACGUUUUUGAUACAAUUUACAAACCAUGUUAAGCCAGUCUUAUUUUUGACCCCCUUUCUUCUUAUGUCUUUCUAUUGAUGUAUCAAAAACAGUGGUUUUUAUACUUUUUUUCCCCUUUUUGUGUACAACAGAGUGGUUUUUUCAAAUGAAAUGUUUCCAGAAGCCUGAGCUGAAAAGAGAAGAGGAUUGCUGGUUCAAGUAGGGAAGGAGCCCUAGAGCAGGUGUCUUCCAGAGUCCUAUAGCAGCCUCUGUGGCAUCUGUAUAGUUCAGGACAUGGUUUGAAAACUACCCACUUCGAAAUACUUUGUCCCCCAACAGAAGAUAAAAAUAAUGCUACAUUUAAAAGAAAAUUCAGAGGAAAUGACUGUUAUCUUUUCUCCUUAGUUCAAGAUAAAAUACUUGAAAAUACACAGACCUUUUAUAAGGUCUUUUGUGUGUGUUGGGGAGCGUAUUGGUAAUUUAAUCCAGAGUUGCUCUACCACUGAGCUACAUCUUCAGUCUUUUUUAUUUUUUGGGAUAGGAUCUAACAAAGUUGCUGGUCUUGAACUUGUGAUCCUUCUGCCUCAACCUCUGGAAUAGCUGGGAAGGUUUUUAAACAUUCUUGAUUAGCUUAUAUGAAAAGUAUCAGAAAGAAAAUUGUGAUGCAGUGUUUUUUUCUUAAUGUCAACUUAAGAUGUCAUUGACAGAAUGUAGAAUUUGAUUUCUUACUACUUAAUGACACCUCCCCCCAAAGGCAUAUACAAAUGUUUAUUUUGGAAAGUAGAUAACACAUUUAAGAGAGAAUGGGAGCAGUCUCAAAAAAGAGAUGCCUUGGGGUAAAGCAAGGAAUAUUCCUAGGGAGCAUGUGGGUUAUCUCCAGAGGGAGAGACAGCAACCCAUUAGUGUGGGCCACUCAUGUUUAUAGAGGGCAAGUGCUAGGGGAUGAACUAGAGGUGGAGCCAGAGUGGAGCUACACAGUUUUGCACCAGUUUCCCUUUGCUUGUGCAUUUCCUUAACAUGCAUGGGCCAAGGGCAUGUAGCUCAAGAUUGACAAUUGUGCUUUCUGCAUGUCAAUGGCUAGUGGGCAUUUCCUUUAAGACUCUCUCUCUUUAUCCUAAAUCCCUGUGUCCUAUGUAAUGACUUUUAAUAUUAUAUAAUAAGUAUUAUCUUAGAAAACCUGGUUAAAUCAAACUUUAAGAAAUUAAAACGUAUUUAUUCAGAAUAAUGGGUAUAAAUUUUUCUUCUUUUUUAUUUAUUUGUAUCCUCUGUUUUGGAGAAGGUCCCCAAAACACUUCUAGAUUUCUUCUACCCAUCAAAUGUUUGUUCUCUCCCUUCCCAAUAGGAAGCAACUACUAACCGCCUACCUGAGCACAAGUUUCAGAGAAAUUUUAAUCUACCUGUCCUUAACCACCUCAGUUCAUGCUGUCUGUUCAAAUAG
RNAcentral lists this long non-coding RNA (1827 nucleotides) under Marmota monax (woodchuck). Lineage: Eukaryota; Metazoa; Chordata; Mammalia; Rodentia; Sciuridae. The record is from RNAcentral.